UAAUUGAAAGAAAGAAUGAUGGCGCUAAAAGUAUGACACGUAGUCUAACAUUAUCUGGUCUGGUUUUAAUACAUCACUACCCAUGUGGUCGUCUUUGGAGGUAUCCUCCCCUCAUUUGCAACCCCAUCAACCUCAAAUUCCCCCUUCUUCUGUUUCUUCAACAAAUUCGCAAACCCAAUAUGUAAAGCUUUAAUUGUUACGUCUUCUCUUUGUUUCCUCUUUUGUUUAUUCGUCUAACUCUGCUACUGUGCUUUAAUUUCAGAGUUUAUGAACUUAAGCAAGAUGAAGAUAAGAGUUGUUCAGCUCUUUGAACUUCAGCAAGACAAAGACUUCAAAGCAUCAUAUUUUUGUCUUAUCAUCUAUAGUAAUAUAAUUGGUAAGCUUAUUAGUUCUAUUUAAUUUAAUAGCAGAACCAUUUGGUAGAAAGCGUAGCUAAGGAAGCGAAGAUCGUAGGUGUUGAUCCAGCAUAUGAUCUGGCUGUUCUUAAGCUGUUAAAUCAACCUAUUACUUAUUGUUGUUGCCAAUUGUCAUUUUGUUACUAAUUUAUUCUCUAUACUGGUCAGCUUUAUACUGACAAUUCUAAUUUCUCCAUCAAAAAGAUUUUAUAUAUUGGUCAGUGGAAGUAAACUAUGACAAAUAUGAUAUUAACUAAUCCUUCCAUUCUAUAUUAUAUUAUAGACACUUUUUGAGUGGGAAUGGAAGUUAAGAUAUUAAUUUGGUUUCUACAUUGUAUUAGUGAUUUUGGAAGAAAAUAUUAAAGUAAUGGUCAAAAAGUUUGAUGGAGAAAAAAUCAUAUCAAAGUGUUAAUUUGAACAGUGUUAAGACAUCUAAUCACUCUGCCACUGCUUUAAGACAUUUAAUCACUCUGCCAAGAAGAAGAAGAAGAAGAAGAAUUGAUAGUAGUUCAGCUCUUUGAGGUAAAUUUCGCACUCCAGUAAAUGAAUGAAAAAGAAAGAAUUAAGAAAACACUAAUAAUUUGUUUUUCUUAUUGGGUGUUGUGUAUUAGUAGUAAUUGACUUAAGUAUGACGGAAAUGAAGAUAAAUUCAACAAUGAAUUGUUGUUGCCAAUUUGGUGCUCCUUCUGUAUUUCUCAAAAACAAUUUCCUGUUGAAAUGAUAUUAAACAAGUGACAAAUAACCAUUACGCUUUAUUAGAAUAGAAAUCAGGAACAGUUUGAUUAGUGCUAAGAACUAUUUUGUAAUGUGAAGAGUGAAAUACUUUUGAGAUUAAGUUCUAUGCACACGAUCAUGUCACUUAUUAAGUAGUUACAGUCAAAUUUCUUGAUAAGCAUUAACUAAUUAUCUGUUAACAAUGGUAACUAUCAAGUAUUUCAAGACAAUUUAACAGUAUUGGACAUCUAAGUAGACAGCUGUCUUGAACAAUAAGAUCCUUCUAAGCCAUUUGAAUUGGUAUGUUGCUCCACACAACGCUAAUAUGGUAUAACAUCACUAAGAAGGACAUAAAUCAGACCUAAAAGAAAAUUUUAAUGUUUCUUAAUCAGGUCAUGAAUAAAUCAUAAGAAAUCUUCACAGCAACAGUAAGAUGAAAGCAUCAACGCAUCAUCUUUGUCUUAUCAUGUUUGUUGACUCGUAAGUUUAUCAGUUCGAACUUGUAAUCUUCAUUUCCUCUUAGGAUGUAAAAUGUUUCCUUUUCUAUAAAAGGUCAACUCAUUGCUUUUGCUGUAUGUAAUGUCAUCUGAUAUAAAUAAGGGAAAUAUUUUGUUCAACUCAUAAUGCUAUAUACUAUCAACUCUCAAGAAAGUCAGCUUAGGCCUAGCCAAAAGGGAAGCAAAAUCUUAAAACUGAUUAAGUUGUUAAACUGAUUUGCUCGUGUUUCUCCGUGCAAUGGGAAAGGAAAAAAAAGAAAGAAGAAGCAUAAUCAUGGGGGGAAAUGGAUAUUAUUGUAGUUUAUCUGAUUAUUUCAAAUAUUACAGGUAGUUAGUGGAUUAGGCAGGGAAAUACGGCACCAAAUGGAGCCGCCAUUAAAGGACCUAUUCAAACAGAGGCUGCCAUUAAUGUUGGUAACCAUUUUUCCCAUAUAAGAGAUUUACUGGUUGCGAGAAAAGUUUAGUGAAUAGCACUAUGGUCACCUCUGCACAAUGCACUGUUUGGAUAGGACGUAAGACAUUGUUUAGAAGGCAAAAAGAGCAGAGCCAGUUAAAUAAUUGUGGUUUACUUGAGCAUGAGGUCAGGGCAGAAUGCUGGUUUGAUUCAAUUUCUAAUCGCUGAAGAUGGUCAAAAUAGAUUACUUUUCCUUGUCUAAAACUCAUUAUUCAUCAGGUUAUGCAUCUAUGGGAAACUUAGUUUUGACCUAUACUUACUACCUUAUGCAGGGAAUUCNNNN
RNAcentral lists this long non-coding RNA (2343 nucleotides) under Nicotiana tabacum (common tobacco). Its description in RNAcentral is "long non-coding RNA (NTAB_LNC003256)". The record is from RNAcentral. Lineage: Eukaryota; Viridiplantae; Streptophyta; Magnoliopsida; Solanales; Solanaceae.